RNAcentral lists this ribosomal RNA (735 nucleotides) under uncultured Gram-positive bacterium. Its description in RNAcentral is "bacterial SSU rRNA". It matches the Rfam family "Bacterial small subunit ribosomal RNA", at positions 579 to 1314 of the family's 1533-position model. The record is from RNAcentral.
UUCCUUAAGUCUGAUGUGAAAGCCCACGGCUCAACCGUGGAGGGUCAUUGGAAACUGGGGAACUUGAGUGCAGGAGAGGGGAGCGGAAUUCCACGUGUAGCGGUGAAAUGCGUAGAGAUGUGGAGGAACACCAGUGGCGAAGGCGGCUCUCUGGCCUGUAACUGACGCUGAGGCGCGAAAGCGUGGGGAGCGAACAGGAUUAGAUACCCUGGUAGUCCACGCCGUAAACGAUGAGUGCUAGGUGUUGGAGGGGUCAUACCCUUCAGUGCUGCAGCUAACGCAUUAAGCACUCCGCCUGGGGAGUACGGCCGCAAGGCUGAAACUCAAAGGAAUUGACGGGGGCCCGCACAAGCGGUGGAGCAUGUGGUUUAAUUCGAAGCAACGCGAAGAACCUUACCAGGCCUUGACAUCCUCUGACACCCCUGGAGACAGGGCUUCCCCUUCGGGGGCAGAGUGACAGGUGGUGCAUGGUUGUCGUCAGCUCGUGUCGUGAGAUGUUGGGUUAAGUCCCGCAACGAGCGCAACCCUCGUCCUUAGUUGCCAGCAUUCAGUUGGGCACUCUAAGGAGACUGCCGGUGACAAACCGGAGGAAGGUGGGGAUGACGUCAAAUCAUCAUGCCCCUUAUGGCCUGGGCUACACACGUGCUACAAUGGGCGGUACAAAGGGUUGCGAAACCGCGAGGUGGAGCUAAUCCCAAAAAGCCGCUCUCAGUUCGGAUUGCAGGCUGCAACUCG